AUACGGAGGGUGCAAGCGUUGUGCGGAAUCACUGGGCGUAAAGGGCGCGCAGGCGGUUUGGUAAGUCAGAUGUGAAAGCCCACGGCUCAACCGUGGAAGUGCAUUUGAAACUGUCAGACUUGAGUACUAGAGGGGAAAGUGGAAUUCCCGGUGUAGAGGUGAAAUUCGUAGAUAUCGGGGGGAAUACCGGUGGCGAAGGCGACUUUCUGGACAGAUACUGACGCUGAGGCGCGAAAGCGUGGGGAGCAAACAGGAUUAGAAACCCGAGUAGUCC
RNAcentral lists this ribosomal RNA (274 nucleotides) under uncultured bacterium. RNAcentral describes it as "partial 16S ribosomal RNA". It matches the Rfam family "Bacterial small subunit ribosomal RNA", at positions 523 to 796 of the family's 1533-position model. The record is from RNAcentral.